This 503-nucleotide ribosomal RNA is filed under the name Stenotrophomonas maltophilia. Its description in RNAcentral is "bacterial SSU rRNA". It matches the Rfam family "Bacterial small subunit ribosomal RNA", at positions 29 to 514 of the family's 1533-position model. The record is from RNAcentral. Lineage: Bacteria; Pseudomonadati; Pseudomonadota; Gammaproteobacteria; Lysobacterales; Lysobacteraceae.
AGUGAACGCUGGCGGUAGGCCUAACWCACUGCAAGUCGAACGGCACGCACACGGACGACGCUUGCUCUCUGGGUGGCGACGUGGCGGACGGGUGAGGAAUACAUCGGAAUCUACUCUGUCGUGGGGGAUAACGUAGGGAAACUUACGCUAAUACCGCAUACGACCUACGGGUGAAAGCAGGGGACCUUCGGGCCUUGCGCGAUUGAAUGAGCCGAUGUCGGAUUAGCUAGUUGGCGGGGUAAAGGCCCACCAAGGCGACGAUCCGUAGCUGGUCUGAGAGGAUGAUCAGCCACACUGGAACUGAGACACGGUCCAGACUCCUACGGGAGGCAGCAGUGGGGAAUAUUGGACAAUGGGCGCAAGCCUGAUCCAGCCAUACCGCGUGGGUGAAGAAGGCCUUCGGGUUGUAAAGCCCUUUUGUUGGGAAAGAAAUCCAGCUGGCUAAUACCCGGUUGGGAUGACGGUACCCAAAGAAUAAGCACCGGCUAACUUCGUGCACACGG